Molecule: ribosomal RNA, 591 nt
Filed under: uncultured Staphylococcus sp.
Lineage: Bacteria; Bacillati; Bacillota; Bacilli; Caryophanales; Staphylococcaceae
Description: bacterial SSU rRNA
Rfam family: Bacterial small subunit ribosomal RNA
Source: RNAcentral
UUCCUACGGGAGGCAGCAGUAGGGAAUCUUCCGCAAUGGGCGAAAGCCUGACGGAGCAACGCCGCGUGAGUGAUGAAGGUCUUCGGAUCGUAAAACUCUGUUAUUAGGGAAGAACAAAUGUGUAAGUAACUAUGCACGUCUUGACGGUACCUAAUCAGAAAGCCACGGCUAACUACGUGCCAGCAGCCGCGGUAAUACGUAGGUGGCAAGCGUUAUCCGGAAUUAUUGGGCGUAAAGCGCGCGUAGGCGGUUUCUUAAGUCUGAUGUGAAAGCCCACGGCUCAACCGUGGAGGGUCAUUGGAAACUGGGAAACUUGAGUGCAGAAGAGGAAAGUGGAAUUCCAUGUGUAGCGGUGAAAUGCGCAGAGAUAUGGAGGAACACCAGUGGCGAAGGCGACUUUCUGGUCUGUAACUGACGCUGAUGUGCGAAAGCGUGGGGAUCAAAUAGGAUUAGAUACCCUGGUAGUCCACGCCGUAAACGAUGAGUGCUAAGUGUUAGGGGGUUUCCGCCCCUUAGUGCUGCAGCUAACGCAUUAAGCACUCCGCCUGGGGAGUACGACCGCAAGGUUGAAACUCAAAUGAAUUGACGGAA